RNAcentral lists this ribosomal RNA (1173 nucleotides) under Vibrio alginolyticus. RNAcentral's name for it is "bacterial SSU rRNA". It matches the Rfam family "Bacterial small subunit ribosomal RNA", at positions 51 to 1210 of the family's 1533-position model. The record is from RNAcentral. Lineage: Bacteria; Pseudomonadati; Pseudomonadota; Gammaproteobacteria; Vibrionales; Vibrionaceae.
ACACAUGCAGUCGAGCGGAACGAGUUAUCUGAACCUUCGGGGAACGAUAACGGCGUCGAGCGGCGGACGGGUGAGUAAUGCCUAGGAAAUUGCCCUGAUGUGGGGGAUAACCAUUGGAAACGAUGGCUAAUACCGCAUAAUGCCUACGGGCCAAAGAGGGGGACCUUCGGGCCUCUCGCGUCAGGAUAUGCCUAGGUGGGAUUAGCUAGUUGGUGAGGUAAGGGCUCACCAAGGCGACGAUCCCUAGCUGGUCUGAGAGGAUGAUCAGCCACACUGGAACUGAGACACGGUCCAGACUCCUACGGGAGGCAGCAGUGGGGAAUAUUGCACAAUGGGCGCAAGCCUGAUGCAGCCAUGCCGCGUGUGUGAAGAAGGCCUUCGGGUUGUAAAGCACUUUCAGUCGUGAGGAAGGUAGUGUAGUUAAUAGCUGCAUUAUUUGACGUUAGCGACAGAAGAAGCACCGGCUAACUCCGUGCCAGCAGCCGCGGUAAUACGGAGGGUGCGAGCGUUAAUCGGAAUUACUGGGCGUAAAGCGCAUGCAGGUGGUUUGUUAAGUCAGAUGUGAAAGCCCGGGGCUCAACCUCGGAAUUGCAUUUGAAACUGGCAGACUAGAGUACUGUAGAGGGGGGUAGAAUUUCAGGUGUAGCGGUGAAAUGCGUAGAGAUCUGAAGGAAUACCGGUGGCGAAGGCGGCCCCCUGGACAGAUACUGACACUCAGAUGCGAAAGCGUGGGGAGCAAACAGGAUUAGAUACCCUGGUAGUCCACGCCGUAAACGAUGUCUACUUGGAGGUUGUGGCCUUGAGCCGUGGCUUUCGGAGCUAACGCGUUAAGUAGACCGCCUGGGGAGUACGGUCGCAAGAUUAAAACUCAAAUGAAUUGACGGGGGCCCGCACAAGCGGUGGAGCAUGUGGUUUAAUUCGAUGCAACGCGAAGAACCUUACCUACUCUUGACAUCCAGAGAACUUUCCAGAGAUGGAUUGGUGCCUUCGGGAACUCUGAGACAGGUGCUGCAUGGCUGUCGUCAGCUCGUGUUGUGAAAUGUUGGGUUAAGUCCCGCACCAACGCCACCCUUAUCCUUGUUUGCCAGCGAGUAAUGUCGGAACUCCAGGAAAACGCCGGGGAAAAACCGAAGAAGGGGGGAACAACUCCAGUCCUCUGGGCCUUUAAAAAAG